GAUGCAAGCCAGACAGCCGCUGGUCAGUGCGUAAGGCCUGACGGGAGGAAGGUCCGGACUCCAUAGAGCGGGGUGACGGUUAACGGCCGUCCGUCGAAAGUCCGCAAGGAUAUAAGGCGAGGAAUAGGGCCACAGAGACGAGCGUAUUAAGUUACGGUGAAACGCGGUAACCUCCACCUGGUGCAAUUCCAAAUAGGCACGCGAUGAUGUUGCUCGCGGAGCGUGCGGGUAGGAAGCUUGAGCGCUGGAGCAAUCCAGCGCCUAGAGGAAUGGCUGUCAUAGCGCAGGUUCGCCUGCGCCGUAACAAAAUCCGGCCUAUCGGCUUGCUUCAACU
This 334-nucleotide RNase P RNA is filed under the name Duganella sp. CF402. Its description in RNAcentral is "Bacterial RNase P class A". It matches the Rfam family "Bacterial RNase P class A". Rfam says of the family: Ribonuclease P (RNase P) is a ubiquitous endoribonuclease, found in archaea, bacteria and eukarya as well as chloroplasts and mitochondria. Its best characterised activity is the generation of mature 5'-ends of tRNAs by cleaving the 5'-leader elements of precursor-tRNAs. Cellular RNase Ps are ribonucleoproteins. The record is from RNAcentral. Lineage: Bacteria; Pseudomonadati; Pseudomonadota; Betaproteobacteria; Burkholderiales; Oxalobacteraceae. RNAcentral also lists the same sequence under 1 other name.